This 468-nucleotide ribosomal RNA is filed under the name uncultured bacterium. RNAcentral's name for it is "partial 16S ribosomal RNA". It matches the Rfam family "Bacterial small subunit ribosomal RNA", at positions 28 to 507 of the family's 1533-position model. The record is from RNAcentral.
GACGAACGCUGGCGGCGUGCCUAACACAUGCAAGUCGAACGGAAAGGCCCUGCUUUUUUGGGGUGCCCGAGUGGCGAACGGGUGAGUAACACGUGAGUAACCUGCUCUUGACUUUGGGAUAACUUAAGGUAACUGGGGUUAAUAUCGGAUCGGAGCCCCUGUUGCAUGGUGGGCGUUGGAUCGUUUCGGCGGUUGCGGAUGGACUCGCGGGUUUUCAGCUUGUUGGUGGGGUAGUGGCUUACCAAGGCAUUGACGGGUCCCCGGCCUGGGAGGGUGACCGGGGACAUUGGGACUGAGGGACGGCCCAGACGCCAACGGGGGGCAGAGGGGGGAAGUAUGAUACAAUGGUCGGAAGCCUGAGACAGCGGCGCCGCGUGCGUGAAGACGGCUUUCGGGGUGUGAACCGCAUUCGCCUGUGACGAAGCGGUAGUGACGGUAAUGAGUAAAGAAGCACCGGCUAACUACGUG